AGAAGCGUGCACCUGCAACUGAGAGACCACAUAAUAGCCGUCAGAUCACGCGGCAAUAAGCAAACGCUGUUAAAGGGAAUGAUGUCGGUCCAAAGUCUCGUGAGUCGUUCUUAAGACACGUUGCUUAGAUGCAGUCGGUGGUACUCUGCCGUAUUUUUUGGUCAUUACCACGAUCCAUUAAGUUCCUAAUUAUAUUCUUUUUCUUAUCACAAACUUCCUAAUUAUAUUCAUUUACUAAAUUUAUUAAGGAAAAAAAUAUUAAGAAAUAUGAAAUGACUAAAUGAGCAAUUACAUAAUUCUUUUCAAAGGUUAUUUUUUUUUAAUUUUAAUUAUUUUCAAGAUUUAAAUCUAGUAAAUUGCAAGCUCAGUAUUUUCGGCCAUUACCAUCAUCCACUAACUUUCCAGUUAUAAGUUUCAAACUAUUAAAGAAAAUAUUAAAAUUAUAAAUUGAGCAAAUGCA
This 460-nucleotide long non-coding RNA is filed under the name Brassica napus (rape). RNAcentral's name for it is "long non-coding RNA (BNAP_LNC007554)". Lineage: Eukaryota; Viridiplantae; Streptophyta; Magnoliopsida; Brassicales; Brassicaceae. The record is from RNAcentral.